GCGGCUGGUCGUCGUUGUAUCGCUGCCUUGCGUGUUUCUUACUACAAACGCUUCAGUUAUAGAAUGUCUUUAUUUGCGGAUAACGCAACUAUAUACAACUUUCAGCAACGGAUCUCUUGGCUCUCGCAUCGAUGAAGAACGCAGCGAAAUGCGAUAAGUAAUGUGAAUUGCAGAAUUCAGUGAAUCAUCGAAUCUUUGAACGCACCUUGCGCUCCUUGGUAUUCCGAGGAGCAUGCCUGUUUGAGUCUUAUGGAAUUCUCAACCUUGCAGUUUUGUUACUGCAAGGCUUGGACUUGGAGGUCGUGUCGGCUCUCGCGAGUCGACUCCUCUGAAAUGCAUUAGUGCGGACGUUACCGGUCGCUUCAGCGUGAUAAUUAUCUGCGCUGCCGUCGACUGGUAUGUGAAGUACGCGCUUCUAACCGUCCUUCACGGGACAAUACAUUGAAACUCUGAGCUCAAAUCAGGUAGGACUACCCGCUGAACUUAAGCAUAUCAAUAAGCGGAGGAAAAGAAACUAACAAGGAUUCCCCUAGUAACUGCGAGUGAAGCGGGAAAAGCUCAAAUUUAAAAUCUGGCGGUCUUCGGCCGUCCGAGUUGUAAUCUGGAGAAGCGUCUUCCGCGC
RNAcentral lists this ribosomal RNA (622 nucleotides) under uncultured fungus. Its description in RNAcentral is "eukaryotic LSU rRNA". The stretch from base 97 to 250 matches the Rfam family "5.8S ribosomal RNA". Lineage: Eukaryota; Fungi. The record is from RNAcentral.